ACACUGACGUCGCGACGCAUAUCAAUAAGCGGAGGAAAAGAAACUAACAAGGAUUCCCUUAGUAACGGCGAGUGAAGCGGGAAGAGCUCAAAUUUGAAAUCAUCAAGGUUCUACCUUGACGAAUUGUAGUUUAUAGAAGUGUUUUCUGUUAGUAGAGUGGCAAAAGUUCUUUGGAAUAGGACAUCGUAGAGGGUGAGAAUCCCGUAUUUGGUCAUUCCUCCUAGCGUUGUGAUACACUUUCAACGAGUCGGAUUGUUUGGGAAUGCAGUCCAAAAUGGGUGGUAAAUUUCAUCUAAAGCUAAAUAUUGGCGAGAGACCGAUAGCGAACAAGUACCGUGAGGGAAAGAUGAAAAGAACUUUGAAAAGAGAGUUAAACAGUACGUGAAAUUGUCAAAAGGGAAGCGUUUGACACCAGUGUUGUUUUUCCGAAAAUCAAUUACGAAUGUUUUGUUUUUGAGGAGUUAUGACUUCAUCGGCUUGCUCCUUUCUUUACGAAACUUUCUUAAUGCACUUUUCGGUUAACAAGUCAACAUCAAUUUCUUUUGUUGUAAAAGGGUAUGAGGAAGGUGGCUUUCUUUUCGGAGAAAGUGUUUAUAGCCUUGUGCCUCUACAAUCGGAGAGAUUGAGGUCUGCAGCGUAGAUCCUUCGGGGUUAGAUACGUUUGUGCUAAGUUAUAGCUUUUCAUAGACAACUUGUUGACUAUGUUUAGUCUUGUAGCUUACUCGCUGACGCUAUUUUACCUACGCUUAGGAUGUUGAGUAGCGACAUACGCAC
This 774-nucleotide ribosomal RNA is filed under the name uncultured Neocallimastigales. RNAcentral describes it as "partial large subunit ribosomal RNA". It matches the Rfam family "Eukaryotic large subunit ribosomal RNA", at positions 25 to 649 of the family's 3401-position model. The record is from RNAcentral. Lineage: Eukaryota; Fungi; Neocallimastigomycota; Neocallimastigomycetes; Neocallimastigales.